RNAcentral lists this ribosomal RNA (904 nucleotides) under Trichoderma sp. 2 PC-2011. RNAcentral describes it as "LSU rRNA". It matches the Rfam family "Eukaryotic large subunit ribosomal RNA", at positions 20 to 954 of the family's 3401-position model. Lineage: Eukaryota; Fungi; Ascomycota; Sordariomycetes; Hypocreales; Hypocreaceae. The record is from RNAcentral.
AAUACCCGCUGAACUUAAGCAUAUCAAUAAGCGGAGGAAAAGAAACCAACAGGGAUUGCCCCAGUAACGGCGAGUGAAGCGGCAACAGCUCAAAUUUGAAAUCUGGUCCCUAGGGCCCGAGUUGUAAUUUGUAGAGGAUGCUUUUGGUGAGGUGCCGCCCGAGUUCCCUGGAACGGGACGCCACAGAGGGUGAGAGCCCCGUCUGGCUGGCCGCCGAGCCUCUGUAAAGCUCCUUCGACGAGUCGAGUAGUUUGGGAAUGCUGCUCAAAAUGGGAGGUAUAUGUCUUCUAAAGCUAAAUAUUGGCCAGAGACCGAUAGCGCACAAGUAGAGUGAUCGAAAGAUGAAAAGCACCUUGAAAAGAGGGUUAAAUAGUACGUGAAAUUGUUGAAAGGGAAGCGCUUGUGACCAGACUUGGGCGCGGCGGAUCAUCCGGGGUUCUCUCCGGUGCACUUCGCCGCGUCUAGGCCAGCAUCAGUUCGUCGCGGGGGAAAAAGGCUUCGGGAACGUGGCUCCUCCGGGAGUGUUAUAGCCCGUUGCAUAAUACCCUGCGGUGGACUGAGGACCGCGCAUCUGCAAGGAUGCUGGCGUAAUGGUCACCAGCGACCCGUCUUGAAACACGGACCAAGGAGUCGUCUUCGUAUGCGAGUGUUCGGGUGUCAAACCCCUACGCGUAAUGAAAGUGAACGCAGGUGAGAGCUUCGGCGCAUCAUCGACCGAUCCUGAUGUUCUCGGAUGGAUUUGAGUAAGAGCAUACGGGGCCGGACCCGAAAGAAGGUGAACUAUGCCUGUAUAGGGUGAAGCCAGAGGAAACUCUGGUGGAGGCUCGCAGCGGUUCUGACGUGCAAAUCGAUCGUCAAAUAUGGGCAUGGGGGCGAAAGACUAAUCGAACCUUCUAGUAGCUGG